UACGAAGGGGGCUAGCGUUGUUCGGAAUUACUGGGCGUAAAGCGCGUGUAGGCGGGUCCUUAAGUCAGGGGUGAAAUGCCAAGGCUCAACCUUGGAACUGCCUUUGAUACUGGAGAUCUUGAGUCCGGGAGAGGUGAGUGGAAUUGCGAGUGUAGAGGUGAAAUUCGUAGAUAUUCGCAAGAACACCAGUGGCGAAGGCGGCUCACUGGCCCGGAACUGACGCUGAGACGCGAAAGCGUGGGGAGCAAACAGG
This 253-nucleotide ribosomal RNA is filed under the name uncultured bacterium. Its description in RNAcentral is "partial 16S ribosomal RNA". It matches the Rfam family "Bacterial small subunit ribosomal RNA", at positions 524 to 776 of the family's 1533-position model. The record is from RNAcentral.